CAGCCGUAAACUACGCUCGCUAGGUGUCAGGGACGGUGCGACCGUUUCUGGUGCCGCAGGGAAGCCGUGAAGCGAGCCACCUGGGAAGUACGGUCGCAAGGCUGAAACUUAAAGGAAUUGGCGGGGGAGCACUACAACGGGUGGAGCCUGCGGUUUAAUUGGACUCAACGCCGGGAAGCUCACCGGAUAAGACAGCGGAAUGAUUGCCGGGCUGAAGACUCUGCAUGACUAGCUGAGAGGAGGUGCAUGGCGUAGUCGUGU
This 261-nucleotide ribosomal RNA is filed under the name uncultured archaeon. Its description in RNAcentral is "partial 16S ribosomal RNA". It matches the Rfam family "Archaeal small subunit ribosomal RNA", at positions 748 to 1009 of the family's 1478-position model. The record is from RNAcentral.